GAUGAACGCUAGCGGGAGGCCUAACACAUGCAAGCCGAGCGGUAUUGUUUCUUCGGAAAUGAGAGAGCGGCGUACGGGUGCGUAACACGUGUGCAACCUGCCUUUAUCUGGGGGAUAGCCUUUCGAAAGGAAGAUUAAUACUCCAUAAUAUAUUGAACGGCAUCGUUUAAUAUUGAAAGCUCCUGCGGAUAGAGAUGGGCACGCGCAAGAUUAGCUAGUUGGUGAGGUAACGGCUCACCAAGGCGAUGAUCUUUAGGGGGCCUGAGAGGGUGAUCCCCCACACUGGUACUGAGACACGGACCAGACUCCUACGGGAGGCAGCAGUGAGGAAUAUUGGUCAAUGGGUGCAAGCCUGAACCAGCCAUCCCGAGUGAAGGACGACUGCCCUAGGGGUUGUAAACUUCUUUUGUAUAGGGAUAAACCUACCCUCGAGAGGGUAGCUGAAGGUACUAUACGAAUAAGCACCGGCUAACUCCGUG
RNAcentral lists this ribosomal RNA (479 nucleotides) under uncultured bacterium. RNAcentral's name for it is "partial 16S ribosomal RNA". It matches the Rfam family "Bacterial small subunit ribosomal RNA", at positions 28 to 507 of the family's 1533-position model. The record is from RNAcentral.